Molecule: long non-coding RNA, 261 nt
Organism: Marmota flaviventris (yellow-bellied marmot)
Lineage: Eukaryota; Metazoa; Chordata; Mammalia; Rodentia; Sciuridae
Source: RefSeq, a predicted model, not a curated record
GUCUGGAGAGUUCCUGUGUGCAUUCUCCCAUCGAGGAACAUGCAGUGUUGUGGAUCAAAUGUGGGCCUUGCACGUGUAAGGGUGGCCCUGAAUACAAGCCAACCAUGGUGAUCAGGGAGGCCGCACUGUAACACCACUGGAGAAGGGACCUCGGUGCUGCUGUCAGCUGAUGGACGACCUUGCUUCCGGUUUCUCCGGGAAAACAGAAGCGAUCAGAAGAAACUUCCCCAGCCCCGCCCGCCUCCGCUCACCUGCUGGCAC